Molecule: ribosomal RNA, 775 nt
Filed under: uncultured Neocallimastigales
Lineage: Eukaryota; Fungi; Neocallimastigomycota; Neocallimastigomycetes; Neocallimastigales
Description: partial large subunit ribosomal RNA
Rfam family: Eukaryotic large subunit ribosomal RNA
Source: RNAcentral
UAUGUGAUCGUCUCUCGCAUAUCAAUAAGCGGAGGAAAAGAAACUAACAAGGAUUCCCCUAGUAACGGCGAGUGAAGCGGGAAGAGCUCAAAUUUGAAAUCUUAAAGGGUUUCCCUUUACGAAUUGUAGUUUAAAGAAGUGUUUUCUGUUGAGGUUUUGGUAAAAGUUCUUUGGAAUAGGACAUCAUAGAGGGUGAGAAUCCCGUAUUUGACCUUUACUUUCAACUUUGUGAUACACUUUCAAAGAGUCGGAUUGUUUGGGAAUGCAGUCCAAAAUGGGUGGUAAAUUUCAUCUAAAGCUAAAUAUUGGCGAGAGACCGAUAGCGAACAAGUACCGUGAGGGAAAGAUGAAAAGAACUUUGAAAAGAGAGUUAAACAGUACGUGAAAUUGUCAAAAGGGAAGCGUUUGACACCAGUGUUGUUUUUCUGAAAAUCAAUUAAAGAACUGUUUAUGCUAAGCUGUUUAGACUUUAUCAGCUAAUCUGUUUAGUUUUGAGCUUUUCUUUAAUGCACUUUUCAGUUAACAAGUCAACAUCAAUUUCUUUUGCUGUAAAAAAGCUUGAGGAAGGUGGCUUGAGAUUCGUCUUAAGUGUUUAUAGCCUCUUGCCUAUGCAGUCGGAGAGAUUGAGGUCUGCAGCGUAGAUCCUUCGGGGCUAAAUGCAUUUGUGCUAAGUUAUAGCAUUUUAUAGACAACUUGUUGACUAUGAUUUGUCUUGUAGCUUACUCGCUUAUGUUAUUUUACCUACGCUUAGGAUGUUGAAGUCAUCGUAUCGCGC